AAAGAAGUAGCUCAGCGGGUAGAGCGUAUGGCUGAUAACCAUAUUGUCGGGGGUUCGAUUCCUCCCUUC
Molecule: transfer RNA, 69 nt
Filed under: Candidatus Eisenbergiella stercorigallinarum
Lineage: Bacteria; Bacillati; Bacillota; Clostridia; Lachnospirales; Lachnospiraceae
Description: tRNA-Ile
Rfam family: tRNA
About the family: Transfer RNA (tRNA) molecules are approximately 80 nucleotides in length. Their secondary structure includes four short double-helical elements and three loops (D, anti-codon, and T loops).
Source: RNAcentral